CCUACGGGAGGCAGCAGUGAGGAAUAUUGGUCAAUGGGCGCGAGUCUGAACCAGCCAAGUAGCGUGAAGGAUGACUGCCCUACGGGUUGUAAACUGCUUUUAUACAGUAAUAAAGUGAGGCACGUGUGCCUUUUUGUAUGUACUUUAUGAAUAAGGAUCGGCUAACUCCGUGCCAGCAGCCGCGGUAAUACGGAGGAUCCGAGCGUUAUCCGGAUUUAUUGGGUUUAAAGGGUGCGUAGAUGGGUUGUUAAGUCAGUUGUGAAAGUUUGCGGCUCAACCGUAAAAUUGCAAUUGAUACUGUCAGACUUGAGUACAGUUGAGGUAGGCGGAAUGUGUGGUGUAGCGGUGAAAUGCUUAGAGAUCAUGAAGAACUCCGAUUGCGAAGGCAGCCUACUAAACUGUAACUGACAUUGAUGCUCGAAAGUGUGGGUAUCAAACAGGAUUAGAGACCCUAGUAGUC
This 460-nucleotide ribosomal RNA is filed under the name uncultured bacterium. Its description in RNAcentral is "partial 16S ribosomal RNA". It matches the Rfam family "Bacterial small subunit ribosomal RNA", at positions 338 to 795 of the family's 1533-position model. The record is from RNAcentral.